Molecule: ribosomal RNA, 800 nt
Filed under: Bacillus amyloliquefaciens
Lineage: Bacteria; Bacillati; Bacillota; Bacilli; Caryophanales; Bacillaceae
Also listed under: 1 other name
Description: bacterial SSU rRNA
Rfam family: Bacterial small subunit ribosomal RNA
Source: RNAcentral
CAAGUCGAGCGGACAGAUGGGAGCUUGCUCCCUGAUGUUAGCGGCGGACGGGUGAGUAACACGUGGGUAACCUGCCUGUAAGACUGGGAUAACUCCGGGAAACCGGGGCUAAUACCGGAUGGUUGUCUGAACCGCAUGGUUCAGACAUAAAAGGUGGCUUCGGCUACCACUUACAGAUGGACCCGCGGCGCAUUAGCUAGUUGGUGAGGUAACGGCUCACCAAGGCGACGAUGCGUAGCCGACCUGAGAGGGUGAUCGGCCACACUGGGACUGAGACACGGCCCAGACUCCUACGGGAGGCAGCAGUAGGGAAUCUUCCGCAAUGGACGAAAGUCUGACGGAGCAACGCCGCGUGAGUGAUGAAGGUUUUCGGAUCGUAAAGCUCUGUUGUUAGGGAAGAACAAGUGCCGUUCAAAUAGGGCGGCACCUUGACGGUACCUAACCAGAAAGCCACGGCUAACUACGUGCCAGCAGCCGCGGUAAUACGUAGGUGGCAAGCGUUGUCCGGAAUUAUUGGGCGUAAAGGGCUCGCAGGCGGUUUCUUAAGUCUGAUGUGAAAGCCCCCGGCUCAACCGGGGAGGGUCAUUGGAAACUGGGGAACUUGAGUGCAGAAGAGGAGAGUGGAAUUCCACGUGUAGCGGUGAAAUGCGUAGAGAUGUGGAGGAACACCAGUGGCGAAGGCGACUCUCUGGUCUGUAACUGACGCUGAGGAGCGAAAGCGUGGGGAGCGAACAGGAUUAGAUACCCUGGUAGUCCACGCCGUAAACGAUGAGUGCUAAGUGUUAGGGGGUUUCCGCCCC